UACGGAGGGUGCAAGCGUUAAUCGGAAUUACUGGGCGUAAAGCGCACGCAGGCGGGAAAUUAAGUCAGAUGUGAAAGCCUGUAGCUUAACUUGGGAACUGCAUCUGAAACUGGUUGACUAGAGUCUUGUAGAGGGGGGUAGAAUUCCAUGUGUAGCGGUAAAAUGCGUAGAGAUGUAGAGGAAUACCGGUGGCGAAGGCGGCCCCCUGGACCAAGACUGACGCUCAGGCGCGAAAGCGUGGGGAGCAAACAGG
This 253-nucleotide ribosomal RNA is filed under the name uncultured bacterium. Its description in RNAcentral is "partial 16S ribosomal RNA". It matches the Rfam family "Bacterial small subunit ribosomal RNA", at positions 524 to 776 of the family's 1533-position model. The record is from RNAcentral.